This 1287-nucleotide long non-coding RNA is filed under the name Nicotiana benthamiana. RNAcentral describes it as "long non-coding RNA (NBEN_LNC016654)". Lineage: Eukaryota; Viridiplantae; Streptophyta; Magnoliopsida; Solanales; Solanaceae. The record is from RNAcentral.
UAAAAUCAGUAUAGAGAAAGAAGAAGUGAAACUCUUAUCUCGAACACAUCCAGCCGAUGUGAAGAACAGAGAAGCGCCCGAAAUCAGUCGUUUCAGCUAGAAAUCCCAAAUCCAAACCUAAAUCGGCCCUCUCUAGCUAGAAAUUUAUCCAAAUAAUAGAAAUCCCAAAUGGGAAUCUUUCCCAAAUUGAAAUCCCUCAAAUCAAAAUGUGUAUUUGAUUGGGUGUUUAUGAUACUUGCCACAAACUUCAUUUUGAAGCUAAAUCUUAAGAUUGGAAUCUGGUUUGACGAGUUUUGGUCAUUUCCAUUUUUGUAGGUGAGUUUUGGUCAUUUCCAUUUUUGUAGCUCCGAUUGGAUUUACCUUUUGUAGGUGAGUUUUGGUUUUAAUUUUUCUGUUGAUUUCUGGGUCUUCUUUUUCCUAAUUGAUUGGAUAAUUUUUUUCAAGUGUUGUUACUUUUUAGUAGUUGGAUUUUUAAAAUCAUGUCCUUGUUUUCAAAUUUGCAUAUUUCUUGUCAAAUGCAACUGAUCGGUCACAUUUCAUUCUAAAAGAACUUUUGAUCGCAUACAUAUAGGUCAUUUGAAAGAUGUUUGUGCAAUUGUAGGUAUGGUAGUGAAAUAUGUAGCAUAUUCUUUACUGAGAUUUAUUGCAAAUUCAUUUGUAUCUUAUGAAGCAUUUUCAUGAAAGAAAAUGAAUAUGAAUAAUUCUUUAAUAGUGCCCUGUUUUUUUCCUGUGAUGCAAUUAGUAAUGUUGUUUCAUUAGGAAGUCAUCAUUAGCAAAAAGCUCUCAUUAUACCUUUCAUUUAUCUCAUUAUACCUUUCAUUACUUUAAUCUUUAUGGUUGGAUAGGAAAGCAUUCUUUUAGUUUCUUUAUUCUAAUAACUGUAAAUAUAAGAAUGCUUUGUACCAUGGAUUUAUUGAAAGGGUCCUCCUUUACAGCCUGUUGCUAUCUCGUGGGAGUUCUUGGCCAUCAAUUUGUCCGUUUAUGUCCGUAGCUAUCUUUGUUAUGUCUCUUGUGUCCAAUUAUAGAUAUUUUUCCAGUAGCUAUCUUUGUUAUGUCUGUUGUGUCCAAUUAUAGCUAUUUUUCCAGUAGCUAUCUUUGUUAUUAAAGCUUCUGCAACACUGUCCUUGCGGUAUUGAUUUCUCUAUUUCAUGCAACGCCCAUUUAACUGUCUCUAUCAAUCUUAUACGUUUUUAGUUAUCUGUAAAUUGAAGAAGUUUCAAUCAUUAUUUUGAUGCAUGAUUUCUAUGUAUAGUUUCUUGAAAGGGCAAAGAAUAGAAAGACAGGAAA